UGGGGAAUUUUGCACAAUGGGGGAAACCCUGAUGCAGCGACGCCGCGUGAUUGAGAAGGCCUUCGGGUUGUAAAAAUCUUUUCUAUGGGAAGAAAAUGACAGUACCAUAGGAAUAAGGACCGGCUAAUUACGUGCCAGCAGCCGCGGUAAUACGUAAGGUCCGAGCGUUGUCCGGAAUCAUUGGGCGUAAAGGGUACGUAGGCGGGUAAGCAAGCUAGAAGUGAAAUCCUAUAGCUCAACUAUAGUAAGCUUUUAAAACUGCUCAUCUUGAGGUAUGGAAGGGAAAGUGGAAUUCCUAGUGUAGCGGUGAAAUGCGCAGAUAUUAGGAGGAAUACCGGUGGUGAAGGCGACUUUCUGGCCAUAACCUGACGCUGAGGUACGAAAGCGUGGGUAGCAAACAGG
This 402-nucleotide ribosomal RNA is filed under the name bacterium. RNAcentral describes it as "partial 16S ribosomal RNA". It matches the Rfam family "Bacterial small subunit ribosomal RNA", at positions 355 to 776 of the family's 1533-position model. The record is from RNAcentral.